AGUGGCAGACGGGUGAGUAACGCGUGGGAACGUACCUUUCACUACGGAAUAGCUCCGGGAAACUGGUGGUAAUACCGUAUACGCCCUAAGGGGGAAAGAUUUAUCGGUGAAAGAUCGGCCCGCGUUGGAUUAGCUAGUUGGUGAGGUAAUGGCUCACAAAGGCGACGAUCCAUAGCUGGUCUGAGAGGAUGAUCAGCCACACUGGGACUGAGACACGGCCCAGACUCCUACGGGAGGCAGCAGUGGGGAAUCUUGCACAAUGGGCGAAAGCCUGAUGCAGCCAUGCCGCGUGAAUGAUGAAGGCCUUAGGGUUGUAAAAUUCUUUCGUCAGGGAUGAUAAUGACCGUACCUGAAGAAGAAGCCCCGGCUAACUUCGUGCCAGCAGCCGCGGUAAUACGAAGGGGGCUAGCGUUGUUCGGAAUUACUGGGCGUAAAGCGCACGUAGGCGGACUUUUAAGUCGGGUGUGAAAUCCCGGGGCUCAACCUCGGAACUGCAUUUGAAACUGGAAGUCUUGAGACCAGGAGAGGUUAGCGGAAUACCGAGUGUAGAGGUGAAAUUCGUAGAUAUUCGGUGGAACACCAGUGGCGAAGGCGGCUAACUGGACUGGUACUGACGCUGAGGUGCGAAAGUGUGGGGAGCAAACAGGAUUAGAUACCCUGGUAGUCCACACCGUAAACGAUGAGAGCUAGUUGUUG
This 696-nucleotide ribosomal RNA is filed under the name uncultured Hyphomonas sp. RNAcentral's name for it is "bacterial SSU rRNA". It matches the Rfam family "Bacterial small subunit ribosomal RNA", at positions 94 to 825 of the family's 1533-position model. The record is from RNAcentral. Lineage: Bacteria; Pseudomonadati; Pseudomonadota; Alphaproteobacteria; Hyphomonadales; Hyphomonadaceae.